CCCCCGAGGGACAUGAGAGAAGAGGAGCGGCGCUCAGGUUAUUCCAGGAUCUUUGGAGACCCGAGGAAAGCCGUGUUGACCAAAAGCAAGACAAAUGACUCACAGAGAAAAAAGAUGGCAGAACCAAGGGCAACUAAAGCCAUCAGGUUCUGAACAGCUGGUAGAUGGGCUGGCUUACUGAAGGACAUGAUUCAGACUGUCCCGGACCCAGCAGCUCAUAUCAAGGAAGCCUUAUCAGUUGUGAGCGAGGACCAGUCGUUGUUUGAGUGUGCCUACGGAACGCCACACCUGGCUAAGACAGAAAUGACCGCGUCCUCCUCCAGCGACUAUGGACAGACUUCCAAGAUGAGCCCACGCGUCCCUCAGCAGGAUUGGCUGUCUCAACCCCCAGCCAGGGUCACCAUCAAAAUGGAAUGUAACCCUAGCCAGGUGAACGGCUCAAGGAACUCUCCUGAUGAAUGCAGUGUGGCCAAAGGCGGGAAGAUGGUGGGCAGCCCAGACACCGUUGGGAUGAACUACGGCAGCUACAUGGAGGAGAAGCACAUGCCACCCCCAAACAUGACCACGAACGAGCGCAGAGUUAUCGUGCCAGCAGAUCCUACGCUAUGGAGUACAGACCAUGUGCGGCAGUGGCUGGAGUGGGCGGUGAAAGAAUAUGGCCUUCCAGACGUCAACAUCUUGUUAUUCCAGAACAUCGAUGGGAAGGAACUGUGCAAGAUGACCAAGGACGACUUCCAGAGGCUCACCCCCAGCUACAACGCCGACAUCCUUCUCUCACAUCUCCACUACCUCAGAGAGACUCCUCUUCCACAUUUGACUUCAGAUGAUGUUGAUAAAGCCUUACAAAACUCUCCACGGUUAAUGCAUGCUAGAAACACAGGGGGUGCAGCUUUUAUUUUCCCAAAUACUUCAGUAUAUCCUGAAGCUACGCAAAGAAUUACAACUAGGCCAGGUACGAAAACACCCCUGUGUGAUCUCUUCAUUGAGAGACAUCCCAGAUGUCCUGCUGAGAUCCGUGCCCUAAGUCACGUGAUACAAAGAGAGCUGAUCCCGGAGCUGAAGCCAGUCCCAGACAGUCUUAUUCUGCCUCUGUUGAUUUGGAGACUAAAUCCACUCAAACCAUUUCAUUCAAAGACCAACUAAAGGAAUUAAGAGCAGAUUAGCCCUUUAACUAGCUUUUCAGAAAGACAGAUGGGCAAAGAAGGCAUCCUGGAUGCCUGGCAGUUAGGAAUAGGCCGACUUUUGAACUAACAGAAGGAUCUGUCCCUCCUCGGGGGAAGAGCACAAAACAAGGACACUCCCCAGAUUCACAGUGACCGAUUAUCAGUAUGUCACAAGAAGCCAGUCUUGCAGAGCAGAAGCAUGCAACCAGUAGUAUUUACAUCUGAAUCUUACUGCCUGUCCUCCAAAUGAUUUAAUUAGAUAAUUAAUUUACAUGCCAUUCAUGCAAAAA
This 1453-nucleotide small RNA is filed under the name Pan troglodytes (chimpanzee). RNAcentral's name for it is "retained intron". Lineage: Eukaryota; Metazoa; Chordata; Mammalia; Primates; Hominidae. The record is from RNAcentral.